GAUGAACGCUAGCUACAGGCUUAACACAUGCAAGUCGAGGGGCAUCACAGUGUAGCAAUACACGGGUGGCGACCGGCGCACGGGUGCGUAACACGUAUCCAAUCUGCCCGUUACUCGGGGAUAGCCUUCUGAAAGGAAGAUUAAUACCCGAUGGCAUGUAUUUCCGGCAUCGGAGAUACAUUAAAGAUUUAUCGGUAACGGAUGAGGAUGCGUACGAUUAGCUAGUUGGCGGGGUAACGGCCCACCAAGGCUACGAUCGUUAGGGGUUCUGAGAGGAAGGUCCCCCACACUGGAACUGAGACACGGUCCAGACUCCUACGGGAGGCAGCAGUGAGGAAUAUUGGUCAAUGGUCGGAAGACUGAACCAGCCAAGUAGCGUGAAGGAUGACUGCCCUACGGGUUGUAAACUUCUUUUGUUUGGGAAUAAAAGACGCUACGUGUAGCGUUCUGCAUGUACCUUACGAAUAAGCAUCGGCUAAUUCCGUGCCAGCAGCCG
This 496-nucleotide ribosomal RNA is filed under the name uncultured bacterium. RNAcentral describes it as "bacterial SSU rRNA". It matches the Rfam family "Bacterial small subunit ribosomal RNA", at positions 28 to 517 of the family's 1533-position model. The record is from RNAcentral.